This 165-nucleotide ribosomal RNA is filed under the name uncultured bacterium. RNAcentral describes it as "partial 16S rRNA". It matches the Rfam family "Bacterial small subunit ribosomal RNA", at positions 354 to 511 of the family's 1533-position model. The record is from RNAcentral.
UAGGGGAAUCUUCCACAAUGGACGCAAGUCUGAUGGAGCAACGCCGCGUGAGUGAAGAAGGGUUUCGGCUCGUAAAGCUCUGUUGUUAAAGAAGAACGUGGGUAAGAGUAACUGUUUACCCAGUGACGGUAUUUAACCAGAAAGCCACGGCUAACUACGUGCCAG